UGUGGGAGCUGGCUUGCCUGCGAUAGCGGUAUGUCAGUGAGCAUUUCCGUUACUGACACACCAUUAUCGCAGGCAAGCCAGCUCCCACA
RNAcentral lists this unclassified non-coding RNA (89 nucleotides) under Pseudomonas libanensis. The record is from RNAcentral. Lineage: Bacteria; Pseudomonadati; Pseudomonadota; Gammaproteobacteria; Pseudomonadales; Pseudomonadaceae.